GCCAGCAACUACACUACGCAGAAACCUCUGGUUCCCGUCACACCAACGAGGUUGUGUUACGUCGGGCCGGGCUAGUACACAAAUGGGUGACGGAUGAGGAACACUCGGAGUCGCUGGCC
This 119-nucleotide ribosomal RNA is filed under the name Echinococcus granulosus. The record is from RNAcentral. Lineage: Eukaryota; Metazoa; Platyhelminthes; Cestoda; Cyclophyllidea; Taeniidae.